CCUACGGGCGGCAGCAGUGGGGAAUAUUGCACAAUGGGGGAAACCCUGAUGCAGCAACGCCGCGGGAGUGAUGACGGCCUUCGGGUUGUAAAGCGCUGUCUUCAGGGACGAGAAUGACGGUACCUGAGGAGGAAGCCACGGCGAAAGACGUGCCAGCAGCCGCGGUAAUACGUAGGUGGCGAGCGUUGUCCGGAUUUACUGGGCGGAAAGGGAGCGUAGGCGGUCUUUGAAGUGAGAUGUGAAAUACUCGGGCUCAACUUGAGUGCUGCAUUUCAAACUGGAAGUCUAGCGUGCAGGAGAGGAGAUUGGACUUCCUCGUGUAGCGGUGACAUGCGUAGAGAUU
Molecule: ribosomal RNA, 343 nt
Filed under: uncultured bacterium
Lineage: Bacteria
Description: partial 16S ribosomal RNA
Rfam family: Bacterial small subunit ribosomal RNA
Source: RNAcentral